Molecule: non-coding RNA, 28 nt
Filed under: Callithrix jacchus (white-tufted-ear marmoset)
Lineage: Eukaryota; Metazoa; Chordata; Mammalia; Primates; Cebidae
Also listed under: 4 other names
Source: RNAcentral
UUCUCACUACUGCACUUGACUAGUCUUU